RNAcentral lists this long non-coding RNA (35351 nucleotides) under Salvia miltiorrhiza (redroot sage). RNAcentral describes it as "long non-coding RNA (SMIL_LNC006855)". The record is from RNAcentral. Lineage: Eukaryota; Viridiplantae; Streptophyta; Magnoliopsida; Lamiales; Lamiaceae.
UCUGAUGGACUGGAACGUGUUGAGGCGGGCGGUGGAAAAUAUCUCGAUCGUGGUGAGGCGGCGGAGGUUGCGCCAGUAGUCGCCGUAGGGGGCGACGACGACGGAGCUGAAGUUGUAGCCGAUGUAUUUGGCGGAGACGAAACGAGGGCGGUUGGCCAGAACGAUGUCGUUCUUGGUGAAGCAUUCGUCGACGGCGGCGGGGGAGGAGACCACCACGAUGAGGCGGUUGCCGAAGCGGAGGGAGAAAAUGGGGCCGAGUUUGAGAGAGAGGUCGCGGUAGGUGCGGUGGAGAGGGAAUCGGAGGAGGUGGAGGUGCCCUAGAAGAGGGAGUGCCGGCAGUGGGCUAGGUGGGAUUUUUCUAUUUUGUUUGGUUAAAAAUUUAUAAGCUAUGGUAAAAAGCAAGAGAGCAGAGAGGGAGUAUAGCCAGCUUGUUUCCAUGCUUGAUUUUGGUGCUAAAUGUAGAUGUGGAUUGGGAUGUGUGUGUGUGUGUUGCUAGCUACUUCUUCCUCACCCUAUUUAUAGGUUGAAAUCACCGACUUAGAUAUUCCGUUUGGUAUUUAUAAAGUAAUAAUUGGUACAAUGGAGUGAAGUAGAUAAUGGAAGAGGGAUUAUUCGUAUGUUCAUUUUAUUCAUUUGUUUGGUAUGUCUUACGAUUGAAAAAUCACUAUUUCAUGCAAAAUCACUAUUUCCUUUCAAACGAGAAUAGUCAUUCCUCCGCGAGCCCCCGGAAUGAGAUUCAGUGUACCAUAUUUUAUGUUCCACUUUGUGUCCCACUUUCAAAUUUGUACAUAGUGCAAUUGUAAUUGAUAACUAAGUAAUUACUACUUUAAACUAUAUUCCUCUAUUUGGAUGAAUAGAAAUUUGGAGUUGGUUUUAAUUAAUAAUUAAAAUAAACAAGAGCAAUAAAAUCACACAAGCUAGCACAUGGGAGAAAAAACAGGAGAUAAAGAUUUCCUAGAGCUUUGGUUUUAACAAAUUCAAGAAAUCAAAUAAAUCCGGUUCAAUUAAUCAUUCGAGGACUCAAUUCUUCCUAAGACAAUCACAAAUUAAGUUUAUAUUCUCGAUAUCAAAUUAAUGAUAAUAAUCAUUCAAAAUUGGUGGCCAAUCAAUCAAGUAAACAAUAAGCACAAUAAUAUGAAAAUGAAUUCAUCAAACCAAAUCAAUUAGAAAUCCAUAAUCUGUUUACUCCCUAACCCUAGGACAAAGAUUACUAACUACGCAUAGACAUUUGAACUAGCAAAAAUAAAUCAAAUGAAAAGAAAUCAUCCAAUAAAUAAAUCGUCAACAAAUGAUGAAUCCUGCUCCAACUCUGUAGAUAUAUAUUCUCUUUGUGUCUUCUAUCAAGUUCUUGAAUGUGAGAAUAGCAAAUGUCAUGGUUGUCCUUUUCUUGAUGCUUUCAAUGAGCAUUUAUAGAUCAGAGUGUCAGAUACUGAAGAAAUGAAGUGAAAAUCGAUUUUCAGGCCAGAAAUCCGUCAAAACGCGGUCAAAUCCAACAAACACAUGGCCCAUACAUGUGGUUGAGCGUCUCGGCCACAUAGGAUUUUUCAGCUUAAUUAUUUGUGCAGUGAUUUUGUUUCAGCCUGUUCUCCCUCGUCUUAAAUUUGAUUUUCGGUCCGUUUGCGCCCAUGAAAUCUUAUUGAGAUGAACUCCAACUUCCAUUUAAAUCAUUUUUCCAAGUAAAGCUUCAAUAAUAUUCCUGAAAAUUCACUCAAACAACAAAAAAGUAACAAGUUCUUGUCAAUAAACCAAUAUACAUUCAAAUUAACCAUCAACACAUAAAAUUCUCAUGACUAGACAUCAAAUAUGACAUACCAAAAAACAAAAUACAUCUUUAUCAUAUCACAUCCACCUUUUAACAGGAUGACGACGAUGAUCCAAUUCUAAUAACUUUCUUUCAUUCAUUAAAAACUAUCAAAGAAAAGUGAAAUACGAAUUGGAACACUAUGAUGGAAUGGAAUGAGUGGAAAACGGAACGCAGGUAGGAAUGGUAUAAAAAUAGAGAUGGAAUGAUAAUCUUAAUCAAUUCCUAUACUUGGUGUGCACAAAGAACACUAAAUAAAAUCAUUAUUCAUUUAUAUAAAAUUACUAUUUUAUAUCAUUCACCUCUCUCUCAAAACAAAUUUAGAGAGACAAAGUAUGGACAGAAGAAAUUUUUAGAGAAAAAAUUUUAGAAAAUAAAAAUAAUAAAGAGAGAGAGAAAAAAAUUUUGGAGGUAGAAAAUUCUUGAAAAAGAAAAAUUUGCAGAGAUAAAUUUUGUUCAUUUCAAAGUUUAAGGUUUGUUUCUCUAAAAUUUUCUGUUUCUAAAAUUCACCGUCUAAAUUUUUUCUUUUUUAAAUUUUCUUUCUAUAAAUUAUGUGUCAAUAAUUUUAUCAACCUAAAGUAUCCCUAUGGAUAAAUUUUCACCCUCUAAAAAUAUCACUUUCAAAAAUUUACGCACAGUUUAAAAUUUCAUUUUUAAAUUUUCUCUUUCAAAGUAGUUUCUGUCUUAAAAAGUUUAGAGACCCAAAAAAAUUUUCUCUCUAAAUUUUUCUUUCUCUAUAAUUUUCUUUCCUAAUAAUUUUCUUCUUCUAAACUUUACUCUCUUUAAAAAUUUAUCCCUCUAAAUUUACACUUCUAGAUUUCAUCUCUAUAAAUUUUCUCUCACUAGAAAUUAAAUGUCUACUUCUUUACUAUUUUUUUUCUUUAAAAACAUUUCUUUUACUAGUACUUUUUCUCUCAAUAUAUAAUUUUCUCUUUUUAAAAUUUCCUCACUCUAAUUAUAUAUAUAAUUAUUUAAUUAAAUAAUUAUAUAUAGAUGAAUAAUUAGAUCAAAUAAUAAAAUACAUGAGAUCCAGUGUCCCACAAUCUUAUGUGUACCACUGUGUCUCAUUCUUAUAUUUAUUAUUUUAAAAAUAUUUUUUAUAAAAAUAAAAUUUAUUAUAAUACUAUGAAUUAUAUUUAAUUUUUAUUUCAAAAAAUUAAAAUUUUUAAAAAUAUAUACCAUGACGUAGAAUUUAUCAACCUAUUAUUAACUAAUAAAAGUGAAAUUAAAUGAUAAAAAAAUUAUAUACCCUAGAUUGAUGGAAUAAACCCUAAUUAAUAAUCACAAAAUUAAACUAAAGCAUACAAAAUUGAAAUUGAAUAAAAAAAAUUUAAGAAAUUGAACAAAUUUGAAAGUGGGACACAAAGUGGGACAUAAAGUAUGGUACACUGAAUCUCAUUCCGUACACUUGCGGUGUGAAAUAAAUUAGCAAACAUGAUCUUUUGUCCCAAAUCUUAUGUCCCAUCAUUUGUGUCUCACUAUUGAUUUUAUUAUUUUGAUAAUAUUUAUUAUAUGAUGAGGACUGUAAUACCCAUCAGCGUUGUGCUUAGCAAUCUAAGCCUAUUUUACCUUAUUAUUAUUAUUAUAUAAACUAACCAGCGCAGGUUUGCCUAAAAAGACUUGCUAAUAAAUGAAUAUGAAGAGUCAAUCAGCCUUGACCAAAGUGCAGAGAUGCUGCCUUGCUAAAGUACAACACCACCUGCGCAGCACCGCAGCGCAGCAGAACAGCAGCACAGCAGCGCAGCCCAACAGCACAGCCAGAGCGCAGAGCUGGUCUUACUAGAGCCGGAGUUACCCGCUUCACCAACGAAGGACAGCGUAAAUGGGUCAAAUCAAGAUCAUUAAAGGGUAUAAAUCCAACUAUUAGAGUUCAUGGGCCUAAGGCCUUUAGGGUUCAUUCUCACAACUAUAAAUAGGAGGUUUAGCAUUAGCAUAAAGGGGGGAAUCAACUCAUUCGAGCAACACACUUGUAAAAUGUAAACUUUCUUGAGCUAUAGUGAAAACCGACGAAGAACCUCCCGUGGAUGUAGGUCUUUGAUGGCCGAACCACGUAAAUCCGUGUGCCGUUUAUCGCUUUCUAGUUUCUAGUUUAGGUGUUGGUGAUUCUGUGCCUCACCAUUAUAAAAUAAAAAAUUAUAAUCUAGUAAUGAUCUUAAUUAACAUUAUUUAUUAAAAACUAAUUUUUUAAAAAUUUAUAUAUCCUAAUUUUGGAAUAAUCAACACAAAUAAUCAUUUUUUAAACUUAAACCUGCAAAUUAAAUAUAAAAAUAUUAUAAACCCUAACUUGAAUUAGUGAACCCUAGUUAAUGAUUGUGAAAUUAAAAUAAAUUACAAUAUAUUGAAAUUGAGCAAAAAUAAUUAAUAAUUAAUUGUGGGACACAUAGUGAAACAUCAAAUUGAACUAGGAGUUUUCCCUCGCCUUAUUUAAAUGGUGAAAAUACGAACUUGAGAUCCUCUAUCCCAUUUUUGGUGUCCCACAUUCAAUAUUUUUUAUAUAAUUUUUAUUUUUUUUUUAAUUUUAAUUUUUAUAUUUUGAGUAUAUGUAAUUUAUAAGUUAAUUAACUAGGAUCCACUUAUUUAAUUAGGGUUUAUAAUUUUUUUUAUAUUUAUUUUUAAUAUUUAAAAUUAAUAAUUCAUUAUUAGCUUCAUCCCACAAAUGAGUACCCAUAUUUUAUUUUUGGUGCGUAUUAUAAAUGUACUUAUUUUUCUUUUUGAUGAGUAUACUACACACAACUCACUCAUAACAAAAGCAAGACUCUUAUGUUGCUCAUAAACACUCAAUCAAUUUUUCUUAAAAUUCGUGUCAUUUUCAUAUAUGUACUCAUUUUGGGAUUGAUGGAGUAUAAUUUUUUUAAUUUUAUUUUUUUGUGAUAAAUAUUAAUUAUGAUUCAUUAUAUUAAUAAUAUUUUUUAUUUUCAUAAUUAAAUAAAAUUAAUGAUAUGAAACCAUGCGACACCCUAAAACUGCAAAAGAUAGGAUUUGAUCAAAAAAUGACGUGGCUGCACUACAUCAAGUGAUCAACCUUGAAGAUAAGUAAUUUUGUCGUAAUCAAAGUGUCAUUUUCUAUGAAAAAACAAUAGCCUUAAGAAGCAAAAGCUCGAUUGAACUAGUAUGUCACUAAGCUGCUUUGUUUCUUGGACAUGAUGUUGUGAUGUAAGCAAUGACCAAAGCAAAUCGGAUAAAUUGAGGUCGAGUUCAUUUCUUACGGGUCAACAUUUUAGACUUUACUGUGCGUAGCAGUCGAGAUUCACAUAUUCUGAUUAUGAUGGUUGUCACAUGGAUUAUUGAAAACAGAAAUGGAAAUCUUAUUGAAAACAAAAAUGGAAGCCUUGUUCCUGGUGAUGAAUGAUGAUGGAAUUUAUUUUCCAAAAUCGGAAUUAACUAAGACUAUAUUUUGGGAUUGUGGUGGAUUUAUCAUAUAAAUGUUCCUUUACAACCGUUGGGGUUUGUUACUUGUUUUGGAUCAAUUUUGUUGUGCUUAGCUUAUGUUUGGAUCCAAAGCAAUCUACAUGAGAAUUAGAGAAACCGAAAAAACAGCAUAUGUCUGCACAAGAUAAAUGAAAUAAGGAAGAAAAUGACAGGUUGAUGUAUAAAAUUGUAUAGUAAUUUUACAAAAUUAAUAAAAUUACCUCUGCAGACCAAAUUAAGAACAGGAAUGAGAAGUCUAUUGAACAUGUUUAUGCUUUGGUAAAUUUUCAGAAAAUGAAAAUGGUCAAGGUUGGCAGGUGAAAUAAACAAAAUGAGUUCUGGGAUGAUGCAUCAUACAUGACUGAGCACAAUAUGUGGCUGAAGCAGAUUACAACACGUAAAGAUCUCAUCUUAAAAAUAAAAGUCAAUUAAUAAUUAUGAUUCACAAUAUAUCUACAAAAUUUAUGGCCUUUCAUAGCUAUAUUAAACUUUUAGUCCAAUAGCAAAAUAAAUAAUACAAAAUUUGAAUUAAAGUUUUGAUAACGAAAUUUUUAUUUCUGAGAUGUCUAUAUAUAAAAGAGGAGGUUUUUCUCUCCAACUUUUUUCUCCAUUUUUUUCUUUCUUCUUUCACUAAAUUUUUCACUAUUUUUUUCUUUAUUUUUUUUUCUAAACUUCAUCAAAUUUAUUCAUGAAAAAAUACUUAAUAUACUACAUCUUAAAUUUAAGUUCGUGAAAAAAAAAUUAAUAUGGUAUUAAAAAAUCAUCAAAAAUGAAUUUAAAAUGAAUAAAUUAUGAAAAAUUAAAAUUAAAAAUAUUUUAUUUUUUCUCUCUUCAUUAACAUUUUACAAUUUUCUAUUUAUAUUUUUUUAUGAAAAUAUUGAUUUAUUUAUCAUGAAGCUUAAUACUCUAUUAUAAUAAUAAUAAUAAUAAUAAUAAUAAUAAUAAUAAUAUUAAUGUGUAAUGUCAAUUUUCAUCAUCAAAUAAUUUAAAUAUAUUUAAUAAUUAUAAUUAUCAUUAUAUUUUAUACAAAGUUAUACGUUUCAAAUUCAAGAUUUUAUUAAGUAAUUGAUGUAGAUUAUUUUAUUUUAUUAUUAAAAUAUACUUUUCAUUUGUUUAUAUUUUAAUUUUAUUGAAUAAUUUUUUUAUUAUUAAAUAUGUCAUUUAAUUUCAAUGUUCGACGUGCAUUGCACGAAUGGACGUUCUAAUAAUAUUUAAUUCAAAGUCAUUCAUUUGAUUAGGGGCGUGAUAAAGACAAUUCAUAAGUUCGAUACAUAAGAUAUUUUCAUAAAAUCUCACAUUUUGAAAUGUAAAUAAUGCACAAUAAAUAAUUUAGUUUGGAUUGUCACAGAAAAUUCAUAUGUUUUUGUAAUCAUUUUUUUAUUGACUAAUUGGAGUGGAUUAUUUUAAUUUUUUUAAAGUUAAUUAAUUUAUAUUUAUUUAUAUUUUGAUUAUAUUUAAUAUGUAUAUUUAUUACUUUAAAAUGUCAUUCAAUUUUUAUGUUGGUCGUGCAUCGCAAUAUAACAUAUGACAUUCAAAAAAAAAUCAUAGGACGAAUGGAGUAUUUAAUUGUAUUGAAUAUUACUAUAACUAAAUCAAUGAAAGAAAGAACUUUGACAGUGACAAUUGUCAUAAAUGAAUUUAACAUGGAUUUCUCGAAAACGAUAGUUUAUUAUACAUAAAUUUACAUGUUCAUUUGAAAAGCAAGAAAAAUCAACCGGCGGAAGUGUAUAUUUAAGUCUCCUUGAGCACUUCGAUUUUAUUUUAAUUUGUAUUGUACUCGUGUGAUGUACAGUUUAUAAAUGUGAAAACUUUAUAUAUAGUUAAUUAGUUAUAAAUAAUCAAUAUAUAACUAAUAAAAUAAUAUAUUAAAAAUACUUGUAUUAUAAAAUACAGAACAUUAUAAAAUUUUCACAUAACAAAAAUUUCACAGAGUAUAUGUAAAAUUUUCAGCAUCCUUUUCACAUAUCAAAAUUUUUGGACCUCGACAAUUGAUAACCAUUGAUACAAUCACAUACAAAUUGUCCAUGACUAAAAGCAUGUCUCUUCUAGUACAAUCCAACAUGAGAAAAAGAUUGGUCUUGACUUUUAUUAAUCGUCAUCGCAUAAGACACAAAUAAUAAAAAAAACUGACGAUGUUGGAUCUUGAAUGACAACUUGGAUCUAACGUAGUCAACGAUAACCAAGGUAUCAAAACCUUUCUUAAGCAUUAUGUUCGCUCAACAAUGUUCCUUCUAAAACUCUCAUACCAAGUCUAGUGAUAAUCAAUCUUACUAUAUUAUCUUGUGUUCUAAGUAAAUGAUCUAACUUUACUUUAAAAAUCCAACAAAAUUAUAUUAGGACGAUCUUGAAGUCUUAAAUUUCUAUCACUAAGAUACCUCGUAAUUUUAGGCCACAUUGAAUUGCAAGUAAAUGUGAGACCAAUUUAGAAUACCCAAGCCCACUACAUAUAGUCAUUGCAUCUUGAUCAUUUUUAAUGAUAUAUCGAGCACCAUCAGUGAAACUCGAUGGUAGAAUGACUCUUUUUACCUACCUGACUGGAUCAUUUUCACCCCUCAAUAAUGUUUCUAUCAAACCUUUAUAAAUAUCACACCACAACUUUUUAUGGUGAUGACGAAUAUAUAAUAGUCUACCAAUUUCAAUCAUAGAGUAAGCAUCAACAAUAAAUUGUUGGAAAAGACGCUUACAGAAUAAAAGUAUAGAAAAUUCACCAACUUUCUCAAAUAUGCAAUAAAUUACUUUAUGAUGAUUUUCUUUCGAGCAAAGCUCAUGAACCAACAUUAUUAUAGAAACAUUUCUUUAUAUCCAUCCCCACUAUAAGGAAAAAUUAAUGGAUACUACAACGUAAGAUACAAUAGAUCACUACAAAAAAGCGUCGAUUUACCGGCGGCAGCUCCGCCGCCGGCAAUUACCGGCGGCUUUCCGACGGCGGAGCGGCCUGAUAACACUCAUGUUUCCAUGAUUUUUAAUGUUCUUAUGAUGUUAAUUUUAUAGGAAAUUGAGUGUUUGAUGAUUGUUUUGUGCUUAAAUUGCUUUAUAUUGUGAAAUAUGUUACUUGCUCGUACUUUGAUGAAUUUUACAGAAAUAUGAAGUUCAAAUUUUGUUGGGAACCUUGUGGAAUAUCCUAACCCUUGUUUUGAUGAUACCAAAAUUCAUAGGACUUAUUUGUAAUAGACUAGAACCGUUUUGAACUCAAGUGUUAGAGUUCGUUUCUAGUUUAGUUGCGGUGUCGAAGACUGAAGACUGAAGACUGAAGAAUCAAGACUGAAGACUGAAGACUAAAGACUGCAGAUACCAACUGAAGUAUCAGUUGAAGAAUCAGUUGAAGACUGAUUAUUUAAUGCGCGCAAUGGACUGAUACUAAAGUCAAGUAUCAGUUGAACAUUCCUCCUAGGACUGAUCUUCCAACGUUCAGAGGAAUCCACGUACGCACAAGUACAGCCGCAUUAAAUGCAGGGAUCUCAAUAUCUUAUCUCUGCAGAGGUCAUUCCUAUCUGGUGGUUACUUUUCAGAGAUAUCACAUCUCCUGUCCAUCAAAUAGAGCCGUUUCCACACAGACAAGGAACCUCGAAGAUUGAAGCCUCAGCCCAAAUUCGAAUUGCUCUCCAACGGAAGAAAUCUUGAGGACGAUUUACGCCAACGGAUCUAUUCAAGAGUUCUCCUACAAAUAGCGCUUGAGGAUCACUUCAACCUUCACCGAUUCAACAACAUAAGCUGAAGCUCUGCCGAAAUAGCUACUCAGCCUAAAGCUUAAUCGCCCAAAGCUUGAAUCGAAGAAGAGAAUUCCAAAGCCAAAAUCAGUCACUGCUGAUUACAUACAUUCUCUUAGACCCUAGGCAUAUAUCUGUUUACCCAGAAGCCAAAGGUCAAACUUGCUUCAAAGAACUUGUUCUUUGUAAGUAUAGUUGGCACUCGUUUAAACCUCUCCCCCAUAAGAGUGUUUGAGUGGUUCGGAGUUCAGGAAGGUACUCUGAACUCUGAGUGAAAAGUCUGAGCACGAGGUGUGCUUAGCAGGGAAAUCCUACGCGAGGUGUGUGGGUGCUGAAGAGGGUUAUCUUCAGUUUACGGUUGUGUGCACCAGGCAAGCACACGGGUACGGUUUGCAGUGCACCAGUGAAGCACUUGCGGAGUGGAUUGUUGGUCUGAUCAACCAGCCAUGGAUGUAGGAAAGGGUUUUUCCGAACCACGUAAAAGUCUCUGUGUUAUUUACAACUUUCAGUUUUACAUUCUUACUUGUGCUAUUUCUAUUGAUAAAACUGAAUACUGACUAACAGCAAAGAGAAACCUUAAUCCAACAACCUGCUCCACCGAGGCUAUUACGAAACUAAGUAUAAUUUCCGCUACGUAUGAUAUCAAUCUGACUGAACUAUCCUCUGAUAGUAAGGAAGAGUGAUAUCAUCUCUAUCCUAGCAAACACGACUGAAGCCCUUACUUGGAUCAGUUAAGUUCCAGCAACUUAACUGAUAACUCAUUACUGAAGAGCUUUCAGUAUCAGUCGUCAACCCUGUUGGUCAAAACUGAUUUCAGUAUAACAGGAGUCCUUGUUUGCGUGUAAAGUUUCGUUUUAAUCUCUGACUGAGAUCCCUCUGAUUGAGGUCAGUAGAUUAGUCUAAAAAUAGCCUAUAGGUGUAUUCCACCCCCCAUACACCUAUUCGAGACCCCCCGGACCUAACAACGUGUUUUCAGAGCAGGUUGUUCGCAAGAACUAUCUGCAUCUGACUAGGUUCUAUUUGAACUAGAUCCUUUUCCUUAAAGGUCUCGAAAAAGUUUUACUCUUUCUUUCUGUGCUUGCAAUUUAUUCUAUCUGCCGUUAUCUGUUCUCUCUUUUUGAUGGAGACUAACCACAGCAGAUUAUAUUCUCUACCUAUGUUUAGUAUUGAAAAAUACGACAUAUGGAAGUUUCGGCUUCAAAGCUUCCUCACUGCCCAACAUUGCCGAAUGUGGAAAGUCAUCACCAGCGGACCGAUCACCAUCACCAAAACCAUCAAAAGGGUUCCUGCUGAUCUCCGACAGGAUCCUUACGAUGAGGUCCAGCCCAAGUCAAAGGCAGACUUCACCACAGAAGAAAGGAAGCAAGAUGAGUUAGAAACCUCGCCAAAAGCAUCAUCUCCGGCACCGUUCCCGACAAGCAUGUCAUGAAGAUCAUCAAGUGCGGANNNNNNNNNNNNNNNNNNNNNNNNNNNNNNNNNNNNNNNNNNNNNNNNNNNNNNNNNNNNNNNNNNNNNNNNNNNNNNNNNNNNNNNNNNNNNNNNNNNNNNNNNNNNNNNNNNNNNNNNNNNNNNNNNNNNNNNNNNNNNNNNNNNNNNNNNNNNNNNNNNNNNNNNNNNNNNNNNNNNNNNNNNNNNNNNNNNNNNNNNNNNNNNNNNNNNNNNNNNNNNNNNNNNNNNNNNNNNNNNNNNNNNNNNNNNNNNNNNNNNNNNNNNNNNNNNNNNNNNNNNNNNNNNNNNNNNNNNNNNNNNNNNNNNNNNNNNNNNNNNNNNNNNNNNNNNNNNNNNNNNNNNNNNNNNNNNNNNNNNNNNNNNNNNGUUUACUACCUCAACGUGGCUAAACCUAAGCAAAUCCCCCCCUCAAAUACCAAAUACCCCCCCCUGCAUUAAGUCACCGUUGGGGGGGUAUUUGGUACUUAAUACCUGACUAUAGGGUCCUAUACGCGAUAGGGGCCCAACGUUGGGGGGGGGGAUUUGCUUAGGUUUAGCCACGUUGAGGUAGUAAUUAAACAGCGCGGACCCUGACUAUAGGGUCCUAUAUGCGAUAGGGGCCCCAACGUUGGGGGGGUAUUUGGUACUUAACCAUAUAUAUUAUAUAGAUAUAGAUUCUAUAUAAUACGACUGAAUUUUAAAAAGAGAGCGCUCGUGAUAUAGCCAUUUUAAAUAAGAAAACAUAAUAUUUGGCCACUAAUUGAAAAAACACAAAUUCUGGCCAUUUUUACGUGUAAAGACUGUUUUGCCCUUAAUUAGGGCGGAUCGGAUUCUGGUUUACGCGCGAGUUAGGCACAUGCCAACCGGAAAAAAAAAUAAAAAAAUCUAAGUAUAUGUCACUAAUGGCACUAAUAUGGCCAUAAAUAUCAUUCGUGCAACACUAUAUAACAGAGUAUAUGACACUAGUGACAUUAAUAUGACCAUAAGUACCAUUCGUGCAACACAUUAAAUGGAGAAUCUAAACCCUAAAUGAUAAUCUAAACCCUAUGGGCAAGUGUUCAAAAUGGCACUAAUGACACUAAUAUGGCCAUAAGUGUCAUUCUCAUGGCGCUAAUGGCACUAAUAUGGCCAUACGUACCAUUCGUGCAACACUGAGUAUAUGACACUUAUGGCACUAAUAGUGCCAUAUGUGCCUAACCCGCGCGCAAAUCCGAAUUCGACCCGAAUCCGGUCCGCCAUAUUUAAGGGCAAAAUAGUCCGAAAACGUAAAAAAUGGCCAGAAUUUGUAUUUUUUUCAAUUAGUGGUCAAAUAUUGUGUUUGCAUCUUCAAAAUGACCAUAUGAAUAUAUUGUUUCUUUUAAAAAUGUCUAAUUUGAAAUAAUAUAAAUUAAAAUUAUUCAAUUAAUCCCUCAAAAAAAAUUAUUCAAUUAAAAUAUAAAUUUAAAAAUUGAUCACACUUAUUAUUUUAUUCUUUAAAUAAAAAAUUUAAAAAUUAUUCACUAAUUUUUUAAUUGUGAAUUUAAAUUUUUGAGAUUGAAUUCACAAUCAAGACUAUUUUUAGUUGUAAAUUAUAGCUUUAAAAUUCGAAUUGACAACCAAAAUUAUUUCUAGUUGUUGAUUCUAACUUUAAAACUCGAAUCCAUAAUCAAAAUUAUUUUGGAUUAUAAAUUUCAGGUUUAAAAUUUGAAUUCACAAUCGCGACUAUAUAUAGUUGUCAAUUCUUGCUUUCAAACUCGAAUUCACAAUUAAGACUUUAUGAAAUUUAGUUUUAAAACUUGAAUUCACAACUAAGACUACUUUAAGUUGUGAAUUCUAGUUUUAAAACUCGAAUUCACAACCAAGACUAUUUCUAAUUUUAUUUUCUUUUUCUUAACAAACACCAGAAUGGUGAGGGGUUAUGUAGUAGCCCGCUCUUUUAAUUAUGAUUAAAACUAGUAAAUGCAAUUUUUAUAAAUGAAUCCAGUUUAUGCUGUUUGUGAUUAGUAUAGCACCAACAGGUUUUAAUGUGCUUUAUAUCGUAUGUACUUAUGUGAUAUAUUUAUGUGUAUGAACAUCAUGAAGAUUAUUGACUAUGAUAAAUCAUGUGUACGUCUAUUCAAUAUAUACAAUUAAGUGUCAUAAAUCAUAGUGAUGAUGUGUGUAUAUGUGUAAUAUAAUAACUCUACAUUAUUAAUGUGCUAAUAGAUAAAGCAAAAUCAAAGUUUAGAUAAGUUAUUUUUUUCAUCUUUUGCUAAUGAUGUACACGUCUCUCUCCACCAACUCUUACUUUUUCCAACUCCACCACCCUUUGCUCCACCAACUAUCAGCCACCACUCCACCAUCAUUUGCUUUCCACCCAACAAAUGCAAUGUUUGGCUUCAAUGCUUUCUUCUUCUUUAAUUAAGUUCACCUGAAAUAAAACAAGAACCAUCGUUCAUUACAGUUAAUCUCCUAUUAAAACCAAUCUACUAUAGCAAACAGUACAGCAACUAAGCCAAAUAACUUCAAGGUGAGUUUUAUAUCUUUUAACUCUACCAUUUCUGCCAGAGUUUUCUUCAUUCGUGUAAGCAAAGGCACCUUCAAUUUAUUUCAGUUUCUAUCCACUGAUUCAAUCACACAGCAGCCACCCAAGCACAAGGAUCCACAGGUAAAUACUAAGCACUAUUAUUUCGAAUCCAGUACGCAUAUCAUCCAACAAGCAUGAAGUGAAUAGCAUAAUCAGUUCCAGAUGAUAUAAGACUCUCAUAAGCAUGAUAGACAUAACAGACGCGGGCUUUAUCAUGUAGAACACCAACCACUGUUGUGAACAAGUGACAGUUCAUAUGAAAUUUUAAACGAGCAUAAUUUGAGAUGUAAGCAAAACAAGAAAAUUACACCUUAUCUUUGCCUAUUUCACGUUAAGAACCGAUAGAAAAAGGAGCGAGAUUAUUUUUGACUUAGCUUUAGAAGGGAGCGGGCUGCUGCCCUGCUCUGAUUUGAGGAGACGACUCGACGACGGAGUUUCCAUCAACAUCGGAAUGGGAGAAUCGCCGCUGCAGCAAGUUUUCCCCUCAACUCGCCGAUUCUGGAUGGAAGCAGGGGCGGCAUACCUUCAUCAAAACCAGCAGCAGCGUGGCUGAACCGAAGGCGAGAACGACCAGCAGUGACUGAUUCGCCGGAUCCCGGAGCCGCGGCGGCGGACUCCUCGGCUGAGGACGGAUCGAGAGAAAGAGAUGGCUGCGGUGCGUGAGUUGAUGCGAAAGAGAGAGAAGAGGUGGAAGAAGCAGACGAUCCCUGGAUUCCGAGCGGCGGCUGCUCGCCGGCGGUUGGGACGGCCAGAGCAGCGGCAGACGAAGCCCUCGGCGGCCUGACGAGCAGCGGACGCCGCUGCGAGUGAAGCGGCACGGUGUAUCUCGCCGGCCUUCUAGUUGCAGUGGCGGCAGUCUUCGUUUCUCUGGAAGAACUAGGGCUUGGUUCUAGCCCCAUCAUCCGUGCGCUCUAGCGACUGAUCGAGACUCGAGAGGGAGAGCUGAGGUGGUGAUUUCUGAAUUGAGAGAAACUAGGGCACGAUUUUGGGGACUUUGCGCUGAGGAGAGAGAACGGCGGUGAGGUUGGACGCCGGUCGGAGAAGAGGCGGCGGCUGAAGUCUCGACUGAUUUUGAGAGAGACCGCGAUUGAUUUUUGAAGAAGAGGGAGAGAAGUCUCGACUGGUUUGAGAGAGAAGGAGGAAUCGGCUCCUUGAGAAAGAGAGAAGCCGAGAAUUGAGAGAGAGAGAAAUAGUAUGGGUUGUGUUUUAUUUGGGCCAUUCCCUUAUGUGAUUUGGGCCGAAUGAUUUUAAAAAUUUGGGCUUUUGUUUUAAUUGGUUUUGGGCCAACCUUUAUUAUUUUAUUGGGUCUAGACUAAUUUAUUUUCAGUUGGGCCGAACUCAUUUAAUUGUUUGGGCUCGAAUUGUUUUAAUUGUUUUGGGCCAAAGACUUUUAAGUUCGGGCUUGAUUUUAAUUGCUUGGGCUUUCACAUUUAAAUUCGAAUUGGGCCAGUCUUUUAUUUAAUUGGCCAUUCUCAUUAAUUCUAUUGGGCUUGAUUUAUUUAAGGAGUUGGGCUGAUGCAUAUUUUAUGAUGGGCUAUUAUUCUAAUUCCAUUAUUAUUUCGUUGGGCCUCGUUUGAUUUAUUUAAUUGAGCCCAACUAAUCAAAUUAUUUAUUCAUGGGACUAAGAUUUAUUCUUUUCAGCCCACAUUAAUUACUAUUAUCACUUGGGCUGAAGUUACUCCUUUGAGUUAAGCCUAGCAGUAUCUAUUAUGAUGGAGCUCAAUUAUUUAUCAGUGGGUGAUCCGAUUCUUAUUUAGUAAAUGAUCUGCCCAGUUUAUUAAUUAUUGUUUUGGACUUCAUAUUUAAAGCGAGCUAUCAUUGUUUAUUUCAUUAAAGCCAUUGGUUUAUUUAAUUAAUUGGCUACUCUCUUUUGAGCCUAUUAAUUAAUUGAGGUUACGUUAGUAUUUAUAUUUCUAAAAGCUCGAUAAUUUCUACGAGGUCACACCUCGUUUAAAGCCGAGUUAGUCCUAUUUUCGAUCGAGUACAAAUGCGAGAUUUAUUUUCACAACUAGAAUAUUCCGAUGAGGAAGGAAGAAUCACAGUUUUAUUCGACCACGCUAGACGAGAAUUAGCUAAAUCUAUUAACGAGGAUUAAUAAUAGAAUUCCAAUUAUCGCUCAGAAGAUUAGUUCAUGCAUACUAGAUUCAUGCAUAAUUAAUUACGCUUUCUCAUUAAUUGAGAAUUUUCCUCGAGCCAAUGUCUUAUUUUAUAUUCUCGUGAUUAAGGUCAAGAGCGAGAGUAAGAACUAUUCAAGGAGUCACAGUACCUUAGCAAAACUUUGCUAUCAGGUGGGCAAUUUCUUACGCGUAAAUAAAAUGCUAUGCAAGUGUUAUGCUUUAAAAAUGCAAAUUGGAUCUUCAAGUGUGUUAUGCUUUAUUACGCCUAAUUGAGUUAAGCUUUAUUAUGCUUCACGCUAAAUGAUUUACGCUAUGCUGUUUAUGCUACUUACGCCUUAUGUGAUUUACGCUUGAUUACGCUUAUUUACGCUUGAAUGCUUUACGCUGAUAAGUUUAUGCUUAUGUUUGAUGCUUGCGUCUGUUGGGGGAGGCCUCCCUCAACAGUACGAUGCCGUGUCCGCUGAGGAGGGCCUUCCUCACGGCGCGAUGCCCGUGUCCGCUGAGAGAGGCCUCUCUCACGGCGCGAUGCCAGUAUGCCAGUAUGCCAGUGUUACAGCGUCUAUUGGGGGAGCCUCCCUCAAUAGUACGAUGCCGUGACCGCUGAGGGAGGCCCCCUUCACGGCGCGAUGCCCGUGUUCGUUGGGGAAGGCCUUCUCCACGACACGAUGCGUGUUUAUGAUUGUAAUGAUGAAGAUGCGCUCAUGCUGUUAUGAUAUGGAAAUGUUUAAUGAGCAAAGGAUUUGAAAGAAACUUAUGCCUCUUAUGCGAAGUUGUGUUUUGUUGUUGAUAUUAUGUUAUAUGCUUGGCACUGCCCACUGAGUACUCUUGUACUCAGNUUCUCUGGUGGUUCAACUUGGUAAGCAAUAAGGUUUACCACCUUUGAGCUCUGAUCCGUCGGUCCUUCUCCAAUUGGCCUUUUCAGCUCUUGCCUCCAGAUUUCCUCCACCAAUGUCAUUAAAUUAGCCUUGAACGUCCUGGCCCUAGCUCUCGUCACUGGACCAACGGGCACGUGCACCGGAUCUUCACUUUGUGCCGCCUCUGAAAUUCGGCUCUGCUCUGCAUCCUGGCCUCUACUCUGAACUGCAUCAACCAGAAACGUGCCUCAUCAGCAAGAGCAGCUCGGAACUCAAUUGGCUAUGGCACAAGAGACUCAACCAUCUCAACUUCAAGACGAUCAACAAACUUGCUAAGCAUCAACUGGUAGAAGGUCUUCCUUCUAUUGUGUUCCAGAAGAAGCAAGAAUGUGAAGGAUGCCUCAGAGGAAAGCAGACGCGGACGUCAUUCAAGUCAAAGUCAGGACACUCCUCUGGAAGGAUUCUGCAUCUACUUCACAUGGAUUUGUUUGGCCCGAUCACUCCAAGAAGCUACAAAGGUAGGAAGUACACCUUAGUAGUUGUGGAUGAUUAUUCACGAUAUACUUGGGUUAUCUUUCUCUUCAAGAAGAAAGAGACACUGGAGGAACUGCCAAAGCUGCUGAGAAGACUGAGCGUUGAAAAGGACGUCAACAUCAUCAGCAUCAGAUCAGAUCGUGGGACUGAAUUCCUCAAUACUGUCAUUCAUAAGUAUUGUGAUGAACAAGGAAUCAGUCAUCAAACUUCUGCAACAAGAACUCCACAGCAGAACGGAGUUGCAGAAAGAAGAAACCGGUACUCUAAAGAAGACACAAGGACGAUGCUAGCCGAGUCAAAAACCCCUUGAAGUUUUGGGCCGAAGCAGUCAACAACGCAUGCUACACGCAGAAUCGCUCCUUCCUCACUCAGAGACAUGGAAGAACUCCAUACGAGUUAUGGAAGAACAGAAAGCCAUCGAUUGCCUACUUUCAUGCUUUCGGUUCUAAGUGUUUCAUACACAACAAUGAUAAGAAGAGGUUAAACACUUUCGAUAGCAAGGCUGAUCCAGGAGUUUUCCUUGGAUACUCUGGAACAGAACGUUCAAGCAAAGCCUAUCGAGUGUUUAAUACUCAAACUCUUUGUGUUGAAGAAACACCUCAUGUGAUCUUUGAUGAGUCUACAGAUGGUUUCAGGGAACAAGAUGCUGAAAAGUAUGUUCAGAUCGCUGAAGGUUCCAAAGCUGAAAUCCACAACAUCGAGCCCUCUACUGUCUUGGUGUGGGGACCUGGCAAAGAUGAAGAUACUGAAAUGCUUCAGUAUCAGAAGAUCAACCAAAGGUCUGAAGUUCAGACUGGAGCCAAUACAGAUGGCAUCAGUCAAGGGGGAACUCCAGUUGCUGAAGAUCGAGUUGAACGCGCAGAAGCCGCUCCAGCUCAACUCUCCCCUGCUCCAGAAGGUGCUCAACACCCCAGAGCAAUUCUGACCGAAGAAGCCCCACCUUCCCCAGAAGAAAUCAAGAAGUAUCGAAGAUGGUUUGAACUUCACUCAAAGGAGAACAUCAUUGGAGAACCAUCAGAUGGCGUCAAGACUCGGAGAUCAAUGUGCAACCUCAUCUUCGACAUCAAUCAGAACUGCAUCAAUGAAGAUAAGAAUUUCAGCUGUUUCUUAUCAACUACAGAGCCCAAGGAUAUUGAAGAAGCUCUGAAGUCCACUGAAUGGGUCAUCGCAAUGCUAGAGGAACUCAAUGAAUUCAACCGGAAUUCAGUUUGGGAGCUUGUGGAUCGACCAGACGAUGCAAAGGUGAUUGGCUUGAAAUGGAUUUUCAAGAACAAGGAAGACGAAGAAGGAAACGUUGUGAGAAACAAAGCAAGGCUAGUGGCUAAAGGAUACAGUCAAGAAGAAGGAAUCGACUACGACGAGACGUUCGCCCCAGUUGCCAGAUUGGAAGCAGUCAGACUCUUCUUAGCCUUCGCAGCUCACAAAGGUUUCAAGGUACACCAAAUGGAUGUCAAGUGCGCAUUUCUCAAUGGAGUGCUCACAGAUGAAGUCUAUGUAGAACAGCCUCCAGGGUUUGAGGUUGCUGGACCAGAAAAGGUGUACAAGCUGAAGAAAACGCUCUAUGGGUUGAAGCAAGCACCAAGAGCGUGGUAUGAUACUCUCUCGGAGUAUCUGAUUGAACAAGGCUUCAAAAAGGGAUCUGUGGACAGAACUCUGUUCACUCUCAAAGAAGGAGAAGAUCUCUUGCUUGUUUAGAUUUAUGUCGAUGACAUAAUCUUCGGAUCCAAAUCCGAACGCAUGUGCAAGAAGUUUGCUGACAUCAUGACCAACAAGUUUCAAAUGUCCAUGAUGGGAGAAAUGAAUUUCUUUCUCGGAUUGCAAGUCAAGCAGACCAACGAAGGAAUACUGAUCAGCCAGUCCAAGUAUGCCAAGGAGCUGAUAGCUAAGUUUGGUAUUCAGCACAUGAAGUCAGUCAAGAUCCCAAUGAACACAAACUGGAAAGUUGAUCCAGGUUCAGAAGGAAGCUCUGUCUUUUCGAAGAAGUACAGAGAAAUCAUUGGAUCUUUGCUGUAUUUGACUGCGAGCAGACCAGAUAUCACAUUUGCAGUCGGGGUAUGUGCAAGAUAUCAAUCAGAUCCUAAGGAAGCUCAUUUGGAUGCAGCUAAGCGGAUUCUGAGAUAUCUCAAAGGCACACCUAAUUUAGGAUUGUGGUACCCAGUAGACGACGACAUCAAGCUCACCGGAUUUUCAGACUCAGACUUCGGUGGAUGCAAGCUUGAUCGCAAAUCAACCUCUGGAACAUGUCAAUUCCUAGGCACCCAAGUCUUGUUUCUUUCUAGAGACUCCAGCUCUUCCUGUAUAGCUGAUAUCCACUGAUUCCUAUAUGCACUUCUCAUUGCUUCAGUAUAAUUGAUGGGAUCUUGAUAUUCAGUUUCUUCUGCUAUAGACAAAGCAUAGGCUAUUAGAUCUGUCUUAGCAUAUCUUGUUGGAGGAUGAAUUUGUCUUCUGAUUCUGUCUCUUGCUAAUUGGUAGUGUCUUAGGUUACCUUCUCUAUCAGAUUCUCCUUCAUCUGGUGAUUCUUCAUCUGCAUCUUGGUUGUCAUUAGUUACUUGAGGUAAUGAAUGAGCUUUAUUCAUUGACUCCACCUCAACCUGUGUGACACCAUGAUUUCCACAUGAUGAAGUGUCUGUUUUUCUUUGAUCAUUAGCAAUGAGAGGCAUAAUUUCUUCCUUGAAGACUACAUCUCUGCUCACUAAGAUUUUAUUCAUUCCAUUUUCAUUAUACCACAGCCUAUAACCCUUUGUCCCUUCUUCAUAGCCUAGCAUAAUACAUUUGAGUGCUCUUGCUUCUAGCUUGUCCUGCUUUAGGUGCAUGUAUGCUAGACAUCCAAAGACCUUAAGCUUCGAAUAAUUUGGAGCUAUAUUGCUCCACCUCUGUUCAGGAAUUCUAAAGCCAAUGGCUGAACUUGGGCAUUUAUUUAUCAACUUUGCAGCUGUAGUAACUGCUUCACCCCAAAAUUUCUUGGAUAAUCCUGACUUAAGAGCAUGCACCUAACUCUCUCAAGAAGUGUCAUGUUCAUACGCUCCACCACACCAUUCUGUUGUGGUGUACCUGGCACAGUCUUGUGUCUCUGUAUCCCCUUUUCCUUACAGAAAUCAUUGAAUUCUUUUGAUAGAAAUUCAAGUCCAUUGUCAGUUCUUAGACAUUUCAGGGUUGUAUUCUUCUCCACCUCGACUGCUUUGCACCAUUCUCUAAACCUUGCCAGUGCAUCACUCUUUUGCUUGAAGAUGUACACCCAAACUUUUCUAGAGUAGUCAUCUAUGAUAGAUAAAAAAUAUCUGCCUCCACCUAGACUCUCAGUCCUUGCAGGCCCCCAUAGAUCGGCAUGUGCGUAGUCCAGAGGUGCUUGAGAUAGAUGCUCCCCAACACCAAAUGGUUUCUUCUUGCUCUUGCCCAAAAUGCAUUGCUCACUAACCAUUUUUCUUAAGUUUUCCAGUAUACUCAGUCUUCUGCUGCGUUACUAGCUCAUUGAGAGCUCUUUCUCGUGCAUGCCCCCAACCUUUUAUGCCAUAUUAUGCAAUCUUCUUUGAUAAUUGCUUCACAUUCACCAAUCAAAGUUUUAGCUAGUAGGUAAUAUAAGCUAGAUUUCCUUACUCCCUUCAUGAUAACUUUAUCAUCUCUGAGAAUACACAACAAGCCAUUAUUAGAUCUCCAGCUGUACCCCUUUGAUUCCAAUGUCCCCAAAGAUAUCAAGUUUCUUUUUAACUCCGGGAUAUACCUGACAUUUAAUAGCCAUUUGAUGGUGCCAUCUUGAAGCUUAAGUUUGAUAUUUUUUGUUCCUUGAAUGAAACAUACUUUAUUGUUUCCCAACAUGACUGAACCUGCUCUUUGUAGCUUUAGAUCAUAGAACCAUUCUUUAUUGGGGCACAUGUGAAAGCUACAACCAGAAUGUAGAAUCCAAUGUUGGUCAUCCUUCAAAUGUUCAAAACUUUUAGGCAAACCAUUAAGAAGCAAGAUCGCCUUAUCUUCAUCAUCAAGUUUAACAUCUAUGUUUUCCAAAUCAUCUAUAGAUUUGUUAAACUCAUCUAGUUGAUCCUCCAUUCCUUUAUCUUCACUGAACUUAUAGGAAUAUAAUCUUUGCUUCAUGUACAAACGAUUUGCCAAAGAUUUCACCAUAUAAUUAAGAGAUUCUAAUUUCUGCCAUACCUCAGCUGCUGUCUGUUCUUUGGCCACUUCUCGGAGAACCUUAUCCGCGAGACAGAGAAUAAUGGCGCUGUGUGCCUUCUGCAUCUUCUCGUCUCUUUCGGCCUUCUUGAUAUCUUCGAGAAAACACUUUUCUCCCAUCAAUGCUCCAACGAGGCCUUGCUGCACAAGUAUGGCCUUUAUCUUGAUUUUCCAAAGAGCAAAGUCGUUCUUGCCGUUAAACUUCUCGGCAUUGAAUUUUAGAGAACUCCUUGCGUCGUGGAUUCGAUUCCGGCAGACGGCGCCAAUCUGUUGAGAACAGAUGCCAAUACCUCGACUAACACCACAACAAGAAUUCAAACGAAAUCUAAACAAUCCAAGAUUUUACGUGGUUCGGCAAUUUGCCUACGUCCACGGCGGAGUCACAAUGUUAUUGAUUCACGAACGCAAAUCCAGCGAUUACACUUUGAAGAUGAAAUCAACAAGAAAACAAACCUCUCCAGUUCUUUCCCCUCUUGUAUCAACUCUCUUCGUAAACAAGUGAAUCUACUUAUUGAAUAAGCAACAACCUAUACAAAACUAAUGCUAUCAGUAUAUAUAAGAGAACAACAGCAGCUAAGCUAAACCAGAAGAAUGAGCUGUGAAUUCUAUCGCAAAUCUCUCUAAAAUUAGUCCGUUAUAACUGACCUAGAAAUAUUGCAAAUAACUCCUUCAACUCCAAACUAUUUACUGGUAACACCCUAGCUGAUAUGUACACGUGGAAUAUUCACUAAAAUACAACACUUAGACAUUACAUUAUUUAUAUCUGAUUAUGAAAAUCUAAUGGGCUAAUGGGAUUGAGCAUAAUAGGGCCAAGCUAGAGUAUCGGGCUAGGCGUAUCAACAACUUCUUGAAUCGGUAAAUUUUGGUUCAGCAUUGCAGUUAUUAGAACCAUUUUACCAUAAAUUGGAUCCCAAACUGGAGUCGUGUUUCUUGUGUAUGGCCUUCUUUAAGGAAAAUACAACUUUGAGGGGAGAAAAGAUUUGGAUUGUAGGAGGAGCAGGUCAUGAUCCAGAUUAUGAGUGUCAAUCAUAUUUAGAAGAUUUAGUCAAUGAAUCUUUUAUUGAUGUCAAUGACAAGGGCACCAAGUAUCACAUGAAUGUUGUGCUACACAUGCUAUCCAUCCAAAAGGAAGAGGAGAAACUAGAUUUUGAGAUCCUAGGGAACAAUGGAAAUAAUCAGCCCUCUGAGAGUCCUCUUCAUCAUCGUGUUAUCAUUUGUAGCAGAGACAAGUUCAACUACUACUCCACGGAUCAAGAUAAGCAUCUUAUUUCUCUCUUCUUCCAUGGAGGUGGCUACUUGGACACUAGUCCAUCUUAUUGGAAGAGCAUUGAACAACUUAAGAUACUUGACCUGGAAGAUUUCGGGUUGAUGUUUUUAUCAGAAACUAUCAGCAUACUGAUGGAAUUAAGAUAUUUGGGAUUGAGAAAUAAUUACAUAAAAGAGCUUGGGGUGCUUGGAAAAGCUUGAGGUUCUUGACAUAGCUCAAAACUUUAUCGUGGAGGUGCCACAUGUUAUAUGGGAAUUGCAUAGCCUUCGCCACCUCUACAUGAGUAAUUUGAUUUGCCGGAAGCUUUUCAAGAUAGACGUGCUACUGUAGGGUCUUGAGACCUUAACCUACGUCCCGAUUGAUGAUUGGACAUAUGAGCCCUCGAGCUUAAAAGAGUUGAGGUCACUUGAGAAAUUGGGCAUAGAAGAAUUGGAUGGGAACUCAGAUUUAAGCAAGCUCUUUGCAUCAUUAGCUCAGUUGAGGAGCCUCGAUCACCUAAUCUUAAGAGGGUAUCUCAGAAGCAUGCCUUGUUUGGAUGAGCUUGCUAUUCUAGACAAUCUCACAACACUCAAAUUGGAUGGGCUCCUUGCCAAGUUACCAAAUAUUCUUCCUCCAAAUAUUAAAUCGUUGACGUUGGUUAAUAGUUGUCUUGAUGAAGACCCCAUGCCACUACUAGGGAAGUUAGAGAUGCUAGAGUUCCUCAAAUUGCGGAAUGCAUACACUGGUCAACAAAUGGAGUUCGAGAACUUUCCCUGGCUCAAAGUCCUGUGCUUGGAAGAGUUGUGGAAUUUGAGAAAUGUACAAUGUGAAAGACUUGCAAUGUAUGGGCUCAACAUAUUAGAAAUUCAUGAUUGUCCAUAUCUGAAUACUCUCCCGGAAGAGAUUUUGACAGGGAAUUCGUUCACGAAGUUAAAGAUGGUGACAACCAAAAGCAUUGCAACAAAGAUCAAGAAUUCAGACUUAAUCUCCAAAAUAAAGAUGGUGAAUAUCAAUCCAUGAGCUCGAGCAGUUGGCGUUAAUUUGGAUAAUUGAGUUUUCUUCUCCGUUUGGUGGUUGUUUUUUUGAAAAUGACAUUUAGUUACUUUGGCAAUUGUGAUUUCUUCAUAUCUUGUUGCAACUGUUCCUUCUCAAGUUACCGUAGAUUUUGGCCACAACUGAUGCUGUUUAUCCUUACAAUAUCAACCAACUCGCUCGUGUUUCAACUUAUACUUCUUUUUUAUAUUUUUCUGUUGUAAUUUGUAAUAGAACAUAGUUGUUUCUAUGGAUCAAAAUUCUUAAACAGCUUGAUGGAUUUAAAGGUGAAUUCUCUAUGAUCGCAAAUUUAUCAUAAGAAAAGAUGGAAAUGUUUUCACAUUUCUGUUCCACUUUUAUAUCCCAUGUUCACUAAGUGUGCGUUCUUUUUUAUACUCCCUCCGUCCACGAAUUAAAGUCCCAUUUAAGGGUGGGCACGGAGACUAAGAAAGUUGAAAAAGGUGUUGUGGAUGAAAUAUAAGGGCAGUUGACUAAAGUGAUAAAGUAGUUGACUAAAGUGUUAAAGGUGUUGUGUGGUGGGUCCACUAGUGAUAAAGUGUAAUAAAUAUAGAAUAUAAAAAUGAUAAAGUUGUUAUAAGGUGGGUCUAUUAGUGGCAAAUGGUAGUAAAUAUAGAAAAAUAAGAAGAGUAAAAAGGUACAUAAAGCACAAUAGGGCUUUAAUUGGUGGACAAAAAUUUAAGUGCAAGUAGGGCUUUAAUUCGUGGAUGGAGUGAGUAGAAAAUGAAGGAAAAUAUAUACUUCACCAUUUUCACUUUUUUAUAUGAUAAUUUUUUAAUUUUUUUGUUAAUCUUUGUUUUCUUAUGAUACAUUUGUAAUCAAUGAAAAAGCAAAUAGGAGCUCUUAUCCUCCAGAAAAUAUUAUUUUCAUCUGUAGUCUGUUAAGCCCAAUUUCAAAUCUUUUUAUUGUCUUUGCUAGAAAAGAAUUUUAUAUUGGAUCAACUUCCAAUUCUUUUUAUAUUUACCAUUGGGUUCACUCAUCCAAUUAAGGUUUAUGAUUAUUUUUUAUAUUUAUUUGAAUUAAUAAUUGAUUAUUUGGGUUCAUUAGUUUAAAGUUAGGGUAUAUACUUUUUAAAAUUUCAAUUAUUAGUGAUAAAUAUUACUCCAUUCGUCCAUGAUUUAAUGCCCUAUUUGGGUGUGGGCACGGAGACUAAGAAAGCUGAAAAAUGUGAUGUAGAUGAAAUAUAAGGGUAGUUGACUAAAGUGAUAAAUGUGUUGUGAGUGGGUCCACUAGUGAUAAAGUGUAGUAAAUAUAGAAUAUAAAAAUGAUAAAGGUGUUUUAAGGUGAGUUCAUUUGUGGCAAAGGGUAGUAAAUAUAGAAAAGUGAGAAGAGUAAAAUUGUAUAAAAAGCACAAUAGGAAUUGUGGACAAAUUUUUAAAGGCAAGUAGGGCAUUAAAUUGUGGACGGAUGGAGUAUUUAGAGUUCAUAAUAUAAUAAUAUUUUUUAUAUUUAUAAAAAAUAAUUAUAAAAUAGAUANCUUGGAUAUCAUUGCUCUACUGCAUCAGAAAUUUGCUCUUACUUCUCUCGGUGAUGUGCACUAUUUCUUGGGAAUUGAGGUAGUCAGACAUGGUUCAUCCUUUGCUUUAAGUCAGACAAAAUAUCUUCACGAGUUGCUUCAUAAAACGCAUAUGAGCUCGUGCCAUCCUUGCGCCACUCCGAUGACACCUGCUACUAAGCUUUCAAAAUAUGGUGGGGUUCCUUUUUCUGAUCCCACGUUAUAUCGUAGCACAAUCGGUGCGUUGCAGUAUCUUACACACACUCGCCCAGAUAUUGCGUUUGCUGUAAAUAAGCUUAGUCAGUUUCUUCAUCAACCUACGUCUCUUCACUGGACAGCAUGUAAACGGCUACUGCGUUAUCUCAAAGGUACAACUUCCAUGGCCUUACACUUCUCCCCAUCUUCCUCGCAUCAUCUUGUUGGCUUUGCUGAUGCCGACUAUGCAAGUAGUGUUGAUGAUCGACGCUCUACGGUGGGCAUUGUGUAUACUUUGGUACUAAUCUCAUUACAUGGAGCUCCAAGAAGCAGUCAGUAGUCUCUCGAAGCAGCACAGAAUCUGAGUAUCGAUCACUAGCAAAUGCUACAUCUGAAGUGGUUUGGCUUGAUGCUUUAUGUAAAGAAUUGGAUAUUUCCCUUUCUUCCCCACAUAAACUUUGGUGCGAUAAUAUUAGUGUUGUUGCCCUUUCCUCAAAUCCAGUCUUUCAUUCUCGCACAAAGCACAUUGAGGUUGAUGUGCACUUCGUUCGGGAAAAAGUGCAAGAGAAGUUCAUUGACGUUGGCCAUGUACCUGCUAUCGACCAGAUUGCUGAUCUUUUUACUAAACCUCUCGCCGAGCCUCGGUUCUGUAUGCUGCGUGCAAAGCUCAAUCUUCACUCCUUAGAGGAUCGCAGUCCUGGAUAGAGACAAACAUUUCUUGGAGCAUAUUGAAGUAAUUUAAUUUACCUCUUGUAUUUUCUAUUGUUAGUCAGUUACAUAGUUAGUUAGAUAGGUUGUUAAGCAAGCAGCUAGAAGCAGCUAGAAGCUUCUAUUUUACAUCUAUAUAUAGCUUCGGCUCCAAGUUAGUUGUAGUCAGUUUUCAGCUUAAUGAAAAAUUAGUUCACAAAAUAUCAUCUCUCUUCUUUUCUCUCCACUGCUUUGCUUCUAUUCUUCUCACAUCUUUUCUCUCAGUUUAGCUUUGAGUUUAACAGGCAGCACAUAGUAGCUGUGGAGGUACGCGGUGUCGAGAACAAUUUUGAUCCUCAUCUACGUACUAUGAAUUCACCAUGGUCCAUGACGCUGCUCUUCUCGAUGUUGUCCUUGUAGUGGAGGUGAUCAUAUAGAGUGCCAUUCUUCAUAUAAUCGUACACCAACAACAUCUUGUCUCUUUCCUCGAAGUAAUGGACUAACCUAACAAAAUGCUCGUGAGACAAUCGCGAUAGAAACGAGAUCUCCAAUUCAAAUUCGUAUUUAGUUUCUAGAAAUUUCUUCAUUUUGGGGCCAAAUUCGCUCCACUUGACCGCAACCUCGUGGUAGUUGGAGAGCUUCCCUCUGUAAACCACGUUGAAGCUGAUGGCAUCGAUUUUGUUCUCAGCGGCGAAGUUGUGUGUGGCUUCAACGAGGGCGAGGAGGAGGAAGGCAAAGAGUAGGGUGGCGGAUUGGAGAGAGCGAAAAGCAGGGACGACAAAGAGCGGUGGUGGAUGAUUGCGAUGAUGAGGCAAAUGAUGAUCAUGAUGAGGUAGAGAGCUACACGUGCCGCCGCCGGUGGUGGUAAUGGUGAGCGCACUGAGCGGCAGCACCGACUGUGGAGAGGAGGGCAUGUUAGGGUUUGGCGACGUGAAGUUUAAGAUAUGCAAUUGAAAGAUGUGUUAUGUUGUUGUAUAUUUUUUUUAUUCCACGUGUAUUGACAACAUGACAAUUGACUAGAACACGUCAAUUAUCGAUCGUCGUAUUAUAUUUGUGAGCCACAACCAAGAAAAAAUAAAAUAAAACGAUAAAUAUUAUUUUGUGAUUAGCUUUGGAUGUGAUAUUUCUGAAAAAAAGUUCAAACGAGAGCCAAAAAGUGAUAUUUAGUUCUUUUUAUUUUAGGUUCUCAAUUAAUUAAGUUUAGUAAAAUUUCGCUGUGGGAACAAGAUUUAAGAUAAAUAAGAAUAAGGAAUUGUGGAUUAUUGUGGUACAUCUAAUAUAUUUUGUUAAAGAAUAUAUAAUUAAUAUAUAUAUAUAUAUAUAUUAAAUUACUAUUUUUUUGAGGUAAGUAAUUAUUGAUUGAUUCAUGAAACAGAUUCAAUACUGAAUAUAACAAAACGAGAAACAAAAGAAAGAAGAUUUUGUUACAGAAGACGUCGCCCAGUUGCCUCCAGUGCCUCGGCCCUCCGGCCUCCUCCUUAGCCGCCGCCCGGCCCGUCCCUGAACCCGUUGCAGCCUUCCCCUUCAGGUAUGCUUGUUGCCUCAGUUUUUAGGGCUCGAAAUUUAUAUAUUCGAAUUGAAAUUGAAUUUUAUGUGCUGCUUAAAUUUUCCUUUGAUAUGAGCGAAUGCAGUUUAGUUACUGUAUUGUUUUGAGUGAGAGAAUUAGAAAAUCAGUUUUUAUUUAGUUUAGACAGGAAGAUGGAGAAUCGAAGAGGGCAGCUGCCAAGUUUUUUUAAAUUAUUUAAUUCGGUUAUCCGAAAUACCGAUGGCUUGGGUUUUGGUUCGAACUUCUAAAACCCCAGGCCCAAUCCUCCCUUGGAUUCUGCCACCGCUGCUCUCCUUUCCUUUUCUCAUCAAUUCAAGUGUUCCUUCUGAAAUUGGGGCGUCCCAUUAAAACAGAAACUGUCAAUUUUUUUGCGGGGAAAAUAUUAACGUUAGAUAACUGUGUUUUCAUAUAUAGAUUUUGCGUUUUUCCUAAGAUAUAUCUACUGCAGCUAUAGAAACUUGUAACCUUGUUAUUCCCCAUCUAUUUAUUAUUUUUUAAUGUGCAAUUAAUUUGGUUGAGUUUGUUUCUUGUAUUUUGUUGGACUGAAGAUCUUGCUCUUACAAUAUUUAUUUUGCAGUUAGGAGAAAGUUCUGAAAUUGCAAUGAAGGGGAAAGAACGAAGAGGGGGUCCUCAUCCACUAAUUUGGAUUACCACGAACCCAGAAUGGACAUCAAGUCCAUUCUAAAAGAUAUUGAAUUUUUGGGUAAGAUAAAGUCUUCAUAUUUACUACUAUACUCUAAUUUGUUGAAUUUUUGGUAUUAAGCAUGCAAAUUAAUUGGAUUUGGAGCUAUUGUUAUAGGAAUAAAAUUGUUGACGUGUCACUUCAAUCCUAAGACUUGGGCUUAGAUAUCUGUCUAUCUGCUAUAGUUUAUGUUUUAUGGAAGCAUCUGAUAGCAAUGGAUACCAGUGAACUUUUGAAAAUCUUCUAUUUUGAUAUUACCUUUGGAUAUUUGAUCUUAUUCCUUGCUGGGAUAUAUGUGUUAAUGUUUUGAAAUUUCUCUCUGAACAAUGAAGGCAAAUGAAUUCGAUAUCUUUUUUGAAUGAAUCCGUUCACAGGUUGUAUUCAACCAAGUUUGCCACAUGAGGAUUUAAGGCAUACUAAUUUCAUUGCCUUUUGUUGUUGGCGGUGUAGAAUACUGCGAAUAAGGUUUGAAAUAAUUGGAUCAGUUUGAUAUUUUAGUUGAAGAUCACUAACAUGUAACUUUUUCAUGAUUUUAUUGCACCCAUGUCUGGAAUUGCUCCUUCCUCUUACUGUGAACUCUUUCUUUGGUGUGUGUAAAGAGUGACAUUUAUUUAUUGGAUGCGGCGACUAUGUGCAAUGUAUCAGAUAUGGCUACUACAACAUCUUGGAAUGUGCUUAAUUUUUUGUCAAUUCAGGAUCCUCACACAUGACAUGGAAACAGAAAAAGGACUUGGAGAAUAAGAAGGUAGUGUCACUUGGUGGAAAGGUGAGUUCGUCUACACCCUACUAUCGUAGGACAUGUUGAGCUCUCCAGUGCUUUGUAUGAACUCUAUGUUUCCUGUAAACAGCCUCCAAAGAAACAGAGGUUACCUCUUAGUGUUGCAAGAGUUGCAAUGAAGAAUCAAAAGGGAAGAGAAGAAAAAAUGCUUCAAGAGGUUACUUAACAUUCCCAGCUUUCUUUCAAUUACUCUAACUGUAUGUUGAUAGAGAUUGAAUGAGUGCAAAUAUUGGUUAUACAGAGAGCUAUACUCGGAAGGUUUGGAGCCUACAGUAGCAGUAGUUCGAAGAAGGUGGCAGAGAGGCGGCCAGCAGAGGACAGAAUUUUGAAGUCGAUUCAAGGCAAUUUCAGAAAAGGGGUUCUCAAUGUCGGACAUCUGUUCAACCCUCGCCCCUGAAGCCUCUAACGACAAGGGCAGACACCCUACGGUAAAGGGAGAAGAAGAAAGACAAGGCAAAAAAGUCUGGCAAGAGAAAGGGUGGUGGUGGUAAGAAGCGUCACUAGGAAUAUCUCAAAUUUAUUGUGUUCCCUUUUGAAUCCUUCUUCGCCUCGCUGAAGUAAGCUUGUAGAACAUAUACAUUAAUGCCCUGUAGCUAUUGGCAUGCCAGAUUUGUUUUGCUGCUCAAUAUAAUGAAAUUUUGUGGCCAUUGCAAUUAUUUUCUACUUACAAAAGUUGAGGAUCCAACUUCUAACCAAUGCGAACAUGAUGAUUUCGCGUGAAAACUUAAACUCAGCUUCCCAUUUCAGAACCCAACUUCUGCACAAAUUUCAAGCCUUCAAGGAGAGAGUGGAGCAGCUUUUAAUUUUCUCAGAACCUUUUCCUUUCUUUUUAUUCAUUUUCUGUUUUUCUUUUUUGUUUGAUUGAUAUUUUAAUAAAAGUUAUAUAAAUUGUUUUUAUUUUCUCUUCUUUUCAGUUUUUCUUUUUCAAAAUAUUUUAUCCAGUCUCUUUUUCUUUUUAAUUUGGUAUUUUGUUUUACCUCCAAAUUUUCUCUCCUCUCAAUUUUUCCAUCAAUUUUUCUCUCUUCUUUUUUCUUUUCUCUAUUUUAAUUUUUGUCAAAAAAUUGCCAACUUUGAUUUAAAUAAAAAAAUAUUCAAUAUAUAUGUUAAAUUAAAGAUUACGAGAAGAUCUUUAAUUCGACGUAAAAAAUAUAAAAAAAUAAUUUGAAAUGAAUAAGUUAUGAUCAUUUAAAGUGUUAAAAUUAACUUUUUGUUCGCUUUUAUUUAUCUCUAAUGUUGAACAUCAUCCAUAUUUUUUUUUCAUUUUAUUUUUAUUUGUUCGUGAAAAAGAUAAAUAACUGUAAUUUUUCUCCUUUUAAAAAAAGUUUACAUGAUUGUUUAAUUAAAUUUAAAUAUUUAAAAAACUAUGUUUUCAAUGUAAUUAAGAAUAAUGAAAUAUGUAUUUAUUUGACUAUGAACUUGUAAAUAAAAAAUUAGUUGUAUAUAUCUUAAAAUUAGCAUUUAAAAUAUUAUAUAAAUUUUUCUAAUGAUGUGUACUAAAUAUUUNUAAAAAAAAUAUUCAAUAUAUAUGUAAAUUAAAGAUUACGAGAAGAUCUUUAAUUCGACGUAAAAAAUAUAAAAAAAUAAUUUGAAAUGAAUAAGUUAUGAUCAUUUAAAGUGUUAAAAUUAACUUUUUGUUCGCUUUUAUUUAUCUCUAAUGUUGAACAUCAUCCAUAUUUUUUUUUUCAUUUUAUUUUUAUUUGUUCGUGAAAAGAUAAAUAACUGUAAUUUUUCUCCUUUUAAAAAAGUUUACAUGAUUGUUUAAUUAAAUUUAAAUAUUUAAAAACUAUGUUUUCAAUGUAAUUAAGAAUAAUGAAAUAUGUAUUUAUUUGACUAUGAACUUGUAAAUAAAAAAUUAGUUGUAUAUAUCUUAAAAUUAGCAUUUAAAAUAUUAUAUAAAUUUUUCUAAUGAUGUGUACUAAAUAUUUAUUUAUUUGUGCAAACAUAUUUGUUGUUAUAUUUUUCUUUUUAUAGUUAUUUAUAUUUUUUUAAUUAGUUUUGGGCUAUUCAAAUAUGAACUUUUAAUAAUAAUAUAGUUUGGACUCUUAAGAACCCAUAAUUGUUAUAUUAAAUGACGCCUAUUAAUUUUAUCAUAUUGAUGGUUUAGUGUUAUUUUCUCAAAAUAGACAUUAACUUGAGAGAGAAAUCUUUUUAAAUACCAUGUAAUAAAAGGUAAAAGUUAUUUAUAUUCAUUUAUAAGAGUUUUUAUACAAAAAUGUGUUAAAUUACUACACUAACCUUACUAUACACUAAUAAGUUAAAAGAAAUAAAAAAAUAAUAAUAGCUAAAGUCUAACUCAUUCUCUCUCUCUUGCAAAACACUUAACACCCACAUACACACACGACACCCACACACGCACGAUCGAUACACUCAACAAUAGCAUAAUGAGUGAAACUCGAUGAAAAGCCAACCGCGAUGAGGAGGAGACGACGUCGAACUCGGCGACGAAUAGUGGACAAGGAGAAAUAAUCGAUAACGAGCCACACGACCAUGUUUUUUUCUUUUUUUGAAAAUUUAUGCUUUUAAAUUUUGUGUUUAUGCAUGUUUAAUUGAAGUUGAGAACAAUGUAUAUGAUUGUAUGAAUAUAGGUAGUAUUAUUGCUAAGAUUUGUUGGUGAAUUUGUUUUGAAGGGUGGAAACCGUGGUUGCCCACGGUAAGUAUUUAUCUUCACACGACCAUCGUGUGAAGAUAAACUCAUUGUGUAGAAGACCUAGUGGCAGUUGCCCGCAGCUUGCACACGAUGACAAAACAAGGUCGUGUAGCCACCAUGUGCACAAUUAGGGCAGUUAAUUGUGCAUCUGAUGGUUGCACACGGUGGCUACAUGACCGUGUUUUGAGUCAUCGUGUGCAGGGCAGAGUGUGUACAAUUUAUCCGUGUUUUAUGUUUUUGUUUGGUUUGAACACUUGAUCAUUGUUCUAAUAGUUUGUAUAUUUAUAUUGCAGCACAGUCUUGAAUGGAUGAGGCCGACAUUGCGCAGUGUUACGUAAUAAUUGAAUAUUUACAUGUGUAAGGCCGUAUUCAAUGAGAUAACUUCGAUGCUUCGGCGCCUUACCAACAAUCUGAAAUGGUAUAGGAGAGUGCAUGAUGCAUUUUUCACGGGUAAUAUUGGUCGUUUGAUUAAACGCAAGAGAAAAGGAAGUUCAAGGUCUAUUCUAUAAUCUUAUAGCCAGCCAAUUGAAGGGUAAUAUCAUAUCCUCGGACGAGUUGUGGUUCCAGAUUUCCAGACGUCCUCUAACUCCUCUAAUGAUUUUGAUAUCAAAUUAGUCGAGGAAAAAGAAUAAGUCAUGGUUCGUCGUAAGAUAAAUCCAUCUGCUACUCUUUUGCCUCUUUAUGUGGUUAUAACUCUAGCAAACGUGAAGACGUUGAGAAUUAUGUACAAAAGGCAUAGAGUAUUGGGUUGUGAUGCUAUGGUGGAGAUUAAGGAGCUCAAUCACAAAGUCCCACAAUCUCUUUUCGACUGUGUCGAUGAUGUGUCAAUUGAUGACAAAGUACAAAGCUGCCUAUAGGAAAUGUGUAGUAACUAUGAUUUAUUGGUUAGAUAUUGAAGGUUGUCAGCGGGUUUGAGAAUAUUUUGAAUUUAUUUUGAACAUUUGAACUUGUUAUUAUCUUUUGUAAUCUUAAAUAUGAACUUCUUAUGACUUAUAUGUGUUUUAUAAGUAUAUGUUGUGUACAUAAAUUGGCUGAAAUUGGUAAAAUAUAUAAUGAAACAUGGGAAACUAUGUGUCAUGAUCUGCACACGAUCGCGUGCACACAAAGGCUUGUCAAUCGUGUGUAGGGACCGUGUGCACAAUCAUGGUACCCUAAAUUGUGCACACAAUAACUGCACAUGAUUGCAUGACAAGAUGCAUUACAUCAUGUGCACGAUCAUGACAUGCAUCCUGUGCACAAGAAAAUUUCACUUAGGGCUAUUUUUAAUUCCAUGUGUUAACGAUUUAAGUAUUUAUCAAUUCUCUUAUAGAUUAUUUCAACAUUUAUAACCACAUAACAUCUAAUUCGAAUGAGUAUAUAUAUUCUUCAUCAAAUUCAUCAGUAUAAAAGUUACUUUGUACAUAACAAGAUGUGAUAGUAAAUUACUAAUAUUUUCAUUAUCUCAAGAUUAUACACUAUACCAAUGAAUUUUGUUAAUGCAACAUAUAAUACAACAAUAUAUGAAUAUUUGUAUAAAUAAUUGCACAUACGAUCUCAAUCAUACGUAAACUGGUUAUUUGGCAUGCAUUUUAUGUGAAAUCGAUCGUGUUCAUAUGCACACGGUGCAGGCCACCACCGUGUCCAUAAUUACAGCGGUCAUGUGCACAUGUGGCACACAAAGUUGACAUGUGUACACACCAUGUAUAUUUAAGAAAAAGACAUAUUGCAAACGAUGGUUGCACACAAUGUCAGCCACCGUGUGCAUCCAUUGUUAUCUCGGUGCUCGCACACCGUGACACAUGGCACACAACCGCAAUACACGGUAUUUCGUAUUGUGCAUGUCAGGCAGCCCAAAAAACCUAUCUUUUCAACACAAUACAUUCACAUAAUGUUACACAAUGUCAAUAAUAUCAUAUAAUGUACACUAUAAAAACUUCUCCAAAUGAUACAUUACAUAGUGAUCUUCAACUCAUCCUUCGAUCAAAAUAAGACCCUCAGUGCGAGUUCCCUACAUAUCAGUGGACGAUGCUCGACCCAACCUAAAGUUCCCGUAUUGUCACAGUCGGUGAAUGGAAUACCCAAUUGCACAUUGCACGCAUAUACUUAGGCUCGCUUCUGGAAUGAUGGUUUAAUGAGAAGUUUCGAUUAUCCAAAAUCUUAUUCAUUUGUACCGGCUGUCGGACCCAAACAAGAAAUCUGAAAAUAGUGAAUCAAGCAAUGCCUUACGAUGUUCUUUCUCUUCGUCUUCAUCGUCUUCGUUAUAUUCCUCAUCUUCGCCAUCUUCCUAAUCUCCCUCAUAUUGCUCAUGCUCGUCAAGUACCAUACUUUGUAAUUGGUUCGUUUUCAAUCGCUCAAACCCUCUCCAAUCUAUUCCACGAGUUUAGAACGAUUUUGUUUGAUCACAUUUAUGAAGACAAAAAAUAAAUCCCCAGCUACAUAUGUCGAUCGCUCCCAAUGAUCGUUGUGAUGUAUCAAUACACGGGUCCACGACAUCUGAGAUUCAUAAAGAAGCCAAGAAAUUAUUUUAAAAAAAAAUAGUAAUUGAACAAGCUUCUACGACAUCCUCUGUAUUGCACACGACAACCAACGCACGGUGACUACGACCGUGUGCAUGUUUCGUGGCCACGGAAUAUGCACAAUGUAGCUAGCUAUGGUUGAAAGAAAACCCUAGUUUCUAUACCCCACAAUCAUCAAUAUAUAUUUACACUUUUUUUGCUUCUAAAUAUAUUCUUAAACAUGCAAAUAUAUUCUUUUAUAACCUAAUUAACCUCAACAAUUUUUCCUAUUUCGUGUCAUUAUACUACCAUCAUGUGCACCAUAUCUACAAUCGUGUGCAGUGGUCGUGUGUUGAUGAACUCUAAAAAAUUAGAAUUUUGCAUCAUAAAUUUAACUGCAUACCUUCUUUAUGAACCAAGAAACAUGAAAAAACUGUCCUAUUUGCACUUAAACACAUUUUUUUUAUCAAAUAAUUGUGUAAGUUUUACAAGGAUUUAGAGAGACCCAUUUUUUUUUACGUUAAUUAUGAUGAUGAUGAAGAAGAAGAAGAAGGAAAAAUAAAACGAAAUUAAAGAAAAAAAAGUCAACAUAUACCUUUAUUUAGGAGUAUUUUUAGUCUUUUUAUUAAUUUUGGUAUGAAAAACUUAUACUCUUAUGGGUGGGUGCCAAUAACUUCUAUAUUUUAUGCUUUGGUAUAAAAAGAUACAUUCGCACAUAUAACAAUGUGAAAUACACUAUUACAUGCAUUAGCAUUAUUUUGUGUAACAAUGUAUUUAUAGUGUUACACACUUUUCCACAAAAUUGUAAUAAGAUAAAGUGUGUAACAAUCGUUGGGACGUGGCGGAAAGGUCGAAGCGGCGGUGCCGUGGGAAAAUUGGGGCGACGAGGCAGUGAAGGAGAGAGAGAAGCGGCAAGAAGGUAAGAGUAUCGGGGGAGGACAAAUGCUUGGGUCGGUUGGGGCUCUUUCUAUUAGCAUAGGUCAAGAAUCUAAACACACUGAUUUUUUUUUUUUUUUUUGCGAUAAGGGCGGCGAUUAGGGAACCAUUUUGGAGGGGGGGAGGAUGGGGUCUACGACAAGGCCCCCCGGGGGAUGCGGGUGUCCUGAUGCGACAUCAUAAUGCAACGGAAGAUGGAGGAGUGAACGAGGCCGAGAUGUGGGGGUUUGGGGGAAAGAGGGAAAGAAAAGCUAACAUACAACGACGGGGUGGCACGCAUACAACAACGAGGAAGGAAGAAGGUGGGGGGGGGGAGUGGGAUGUUGGGGCAGCGCUGGGUAGAUGAAUGGAGGGGUUACAACGACGGGGAAGAAGGCGUACACCAACGGGGAAAGGAAGAAGAUGGAGGGAGUGGGGCGGCGCUGAAUUGGAGAGAGGGGGCUAGCUGGUGCUGAUUGGAGGGUGGGGUGGGUUUAAAUUUUCUUCUUUUAAUUAUUUUUCUUAAAACUUGAUUAAGGGUAAAUCAAUGAAUUUACAAUAGAAAGAUUAUUAUAUCAAAAAAAAUUUAUCUUUAUGGAUAUUAUUUUCUUUUUACCAAAUGAAAAUGUAUAAAUUGAUGUAUUAACUCAUAAUAGUUUUGUUGUUAUAAAAUUAUCAAUUAAUAUUAAGAUAUAGUUUGUUAAAUUAAAUUUAUUAACACUAAUAAAGAAAUUGUUAGAUUAUACAUAAUCUAUAUAAUACGUAAUAAUCUAUUUCAAAAUCCUAGUGGAGCCCAAUGCCCCCUCCCUUCGUUACUAGUUGUUGUAUUUCAAGUUAAAAAACUAGUUGUAGUCUCUUAAGCCCCAUACCUCGUAAGACAGAAGCCAAAUGUGAUUUGUCCAAAACUCUGCACCUCAUAAAUCAAAUAAUGUCUCUAAGUUCCAUAACUCAUGAUGAAGAGUAAUAUAUGUGACAAUCCUGAUAGUAACACUUGUGCAAUGUGACGUGGAAAUGGACACCAGGCUAGGGGAGAAAUAUAUCUACAAUUUUUUUUUGAUCGGAUAAAGUUAUGUUAGAU